This 460-nucleotide ribosomal RNA is filed under the name uncultured bacterium. RNAcentral's name for it is "partial 16S ribosomal RNA". It matches the Rfam family "Bacterial small subunit ribosomal RNA", at positions 338 to 795 of the family's 1533-position model. The record is from RNAcentral.
CCUACGGGAGGCAGCAGUGAGGAAUAUUGGUCAAUGGACGAGCGUCUGAACCAGCCAAGUAGCGUGAAGGAUGACUGCCCUAUGGGUUGUAAACUUCUUUUAUAAAGGAAUAAAACGAGGCACGUGUGCCCUUUUGCAUGUACUUUAUGAAUAAGGAACGGCUAACUCCGUGCCAGCAGCCGCGGUAAUACGGAGGAUCCGAGCGUUAUCCGGAUUUAUUGGGUUUAAAGGGAGCGUAGAUGGGUUGUUAAGUCAGUUGUGAAAGUUUGCGGCUCAACCGUAAAAUUGCAAUUGAUACUGGCAGUCUUGAGUACAGUUGAGGUAGGCGGAAUUCGUGGUGUAGCGGUGAAAUGCUUAGAUAUCACGAAGAACCCCGAUUGCGAAGGCAGCUUACUAAACUGUGACUGACAUUGAUGCUCGAAAGUGUGGGUAUCAAACAGGAUUAGAUACCCGGGUAGUC